RNAcentral lists this ribosomal RNA (245 nucleotides) under uncultured bacterium. RNAcentral describes it as "partial 16S ribosomal RNA". It matches the Rfam family "Bacterial small subunit ribosomal RNA", at positions 15 to 255 of the family's 1533-position model. The record is from RNAcentral.
GAUCAUGGCUCAGAUUGAACGCUGGCGGCAGGCCUAACACAUGCAAGUCGAACGGUAACAGGAAACAGCUUGCUGUUUCGCUGACGAGUGGCGGACGGGUGAGUAAUGUCUGGGAAACUGCCUGAUGGAGGGGGGAUAACUACUGGAAACGGUAGCUAAUACCGCAUAAUGUCGCAAGACCAAAGAGGGGGACCUUCGGGCCGUCUUGCCACUCGGAUGUGCCCAGACUGGGAGUUAAGUCGUAG